UUCACAGCCAGCAAGAAAAAGGAGUCUGCAUUCCUACCACAGCAAGGAACUAAAUUCUCACAACUAGCUGAAUGAGCUUGUUAGCAAAUAUUUAUCCAGAAUCUCUAAGUAAGAAUCCAGUUUGGCCAUAUCUUAUUAAUGUCAGCCUGUGGGACACUAAGAAGAGAAUCUUGUGGAGAACACCUCGAUUGCUAAUCUGCAAAACUGAAAGAAAAACAAAGCCCAGGCUUUUUCAAGCAGUUUCUACCUAUCUCAGGAUCUAGCAUUCCCAAUAUAUUCUGCAGUUAUUCUUGAAAACUACAAGCAAGAAAGGGGGGAGAACUGAUGUUGCAGCUGUGGCAGAAGAUCAUUCGCGGUGCAGGCCCUGGUGCUGCCACCAAGAGCUCUUCACAUUUCCUGGCUCCUGUGACACCACCCUGCGCCCUCGAUUCCAAGAAAAGCUUUCCUGAAAGAAGGUGCAGACUUCUGUUGCACAGCAGCUCUCAUAGUGUGAACCCUGGACCAGUAACAUCAAUACCACUUGGAAACUUGCUAAUAAUGCAAGUUAUCCAGCCCCACCCCAAUCCUACUGAGUCAGAAAUACAAAGGGUAAGACCCAGCAAUCUGUGGCUGCUAUAUUUUUAAAUUGGUAAAUGCUUUUAUGAAGAAACAUUAUUGAUUUUGUAAGUUGAUAUUGUACUUGACCGUCUUCCUGAACUCUCUUCUUAUUUGAAUAUGGCAUAUGAGUUUUUCAUCUUAGUUUUCUGAUAGAAGCACUACAGCAAUUCUAAAUUCCUACACUAACUUGACCUUCUGGAGGACUGAAUCUAAUUUUUAAUGAAGGCAAUAAAACAUAAUUGGGAGUUUAUAUGAACAACACAAACUGAGCAUAUGCUAGCAUUCUCCUAUGUCUUCCAAUCCUUUCCUAAUUUUCUGUUAUAUUUAAUGUAUGCUUAACUCUGUGCUACAAAGUGAGGGGAAGACAUGGAAAACAUAAAUAAAAAAUCAUAAUGUCACUUUGCCAGGCUUGGAAUUCUCUGUGUCUCCUACCUAUUAUUUAGCCUCUACUCUGUUUAGCAUUUAUUCAGUGGACAGUUCCUCAGCCCAGUCUCUGUUUAGUUAACUUGUUAGCUCUAAGAAAAUGACAACCUUUAAUCAUGAUUUACAACCUACAUCUUCUUUGAUUAUGAUUAAAAAUAUGAACACUUUUAAUAUUACU
Molecule: long non-coding RNA, 1198 nt
Filed under: Homo sapiens (human)
Lineage: Eukaryota; Metazoa; Chordata; Mammalia; Primates; Hominidae
Description: HSALNT0019083
Source: RNAcentral